This 600-nucleotide ribosomal RNA is filed under the name Triticum aestivum (bread wheat). Its description in RNAcentral is "partial small subunit ribosomal RNA". Lineage: Eukaryota; Viridiplantae; Streptophyta; Magnoliopsida; Poales; Poaceae. The record is from RNAcentral.
AUGGAUGAGGUCACACAAGCCAUUGAAAACCUGAGAAAGGAAUGGAGCCAAGUAGUUGCACAGCUUGAGGUGUGCAUUGCUGCUAUUGAAUCAUGUGGGAAGCUGGGCAAAGGGACAGAAGAAGCGAGCUCUCUUCCUAGAUUGAACAGUACUGCACAGGAUGCACUGCAAUUGCUCAAUUCACUGCAGUGCAGGCUUGAUCUUCUGGCAGAGCAGCUACCCACUUUUGAAGAAGUUCACUCUGGCCAGGCAACAUUAGGGCUGCGCGUGAGCCUGAGUGCUAACUUGCAAGCAAAAGUGAACAUUGGAAAAGCUGCUCAAGAAGAGAGGGAGCUUCUUCUGGGAGGCGGAGAAGAGUCCACUAUUCGGAGACGUAAUCUCCAACAAGUAACAAGAAUAGUGUCUGGGUUGGUGCCAGUUUCUGACUAUAUCUGUUCCAGGAUCAUCCUGACUAUCGGACGGAUUGGCCUGUUGACACUGCAAAGGAAGCUGGCUGAUGCUAUCAGAUCAGGCUCAGUAUCAGCUGGAGACAUGUUGGGUAAAGUGCAGGAGGGACCUGCCCCAACAACAAAUGCUCCUCCCAUGUAUGAUGAACUGUGA